RNAcentral lists this ribosomal RNA (637 nucleotides) under Enterococcus casseliflavus. Its description in RNAcentral is "bacterial SSU rRNA". It matches the Rfam family "Bacterial small subunit ribosomal RNA", at positions 903 to 1533 of the family's 1533-position model. Lineage: Bacteria; Bacillati; Bacillota; Bacilli; Lactobacillales; Enterococcaceae. The record is from RNAcentral.
AAAGGAAUUGACGGGGGCCCGCACAAGCGGUGGAGCAUGUGGUUUAAUUCGAAGCAACGCGAAGAACCUUACCAGGUCUUGACAUCCUUUGACCACUCUAGAGAUAGAGCUUCCCCUUCGGGGGCAAAGUGACAGGUGGUGCAUGGUUGUCGUCAGCUCGUGUCGUGAGAUGUUGGGUUAAGUCCCGCAACGAGCGCAACCCUUAUUGUUAGUUGCCAUCAUUUAGUUGGGCACUCUAGCGAGACUGCCGGUGACAAACCGGAGGAAGGUGGGGAUGACGUCAAAUCAUCAUGCCCCUUAUGACCUGGGCUACACACGUGCUACAAUGGGAAGUACAACGAGUUGCGAAGUCGCGAGGCUAAGCUAAUCUCUUAAAGCUUCUCUCAGUUCGGAUUGUAGGCUGCAACUCGCCUACAUGAAGCCGGAAUCGCUAGUAAUCGCGGAUCAGCACGCCGCGGUGAAUACGUUCCCGGGCCUUGUACACACCGCCCGUCACACCACGAGAGUUUGUAACACCCGAAGUCGGUGAGGUAACCUUUUGGAGCCAGCCGCCUAAGGUGGGAUAGAUGAUUGGGGUGAAGUCGUAACAAGGUAGCCGUAUCGGAAGGUGCGGCUGGAUCACCUCCUUUCUAAGGAA